RNA transcript from Vigna unguiculata (cowpea), 1503 nucleotides. RefSeq lists it as uncharacterized. Lineage: Eukaryota; Viridiplantae; Streptophyta; Magnoliopsida; Fabales; Fabaceae. The record is from RefSeq and is a predicted model, not a curated record.
CCGCGUUUUUCCUCCACACACGUCGCCGCUGGCCACUACGAAACACGAAGGCAGAGUGCAGCAGCCCACUCACGGCGUCUCGUUUCUCCUCCACCACGUCGGUGGCAGCCGCGAGAAAACGCAGCGCAGUGCACGGAAAACGCAGAGCCAUCAUCGGACUACGAUUCGCGGACGAUUCCGACCGCCACGACCACCGCGGAGACAGAUAUUUUGAAGAAGGCCUAAAUAAAAGGGCAAAAACCCAAUUUGUGGGGUUUUCAGCGGAAGAGCUUCCUCAACAUAGCAGACAGAGAAUUCGAAUCGACACAAUCUCCGUUUGUGUUCAUCAAAAUUAUCUCGUCAGAAGAUCGGAAAAGGUGUGUGGCUGUGUGGUUUAUAAGAAUCUCUUGGCAUUCCUAAGAACUCCUUCUCAGAUUGGAUUGUCAAUUUUCAUUAUCAAUAUGGACUUCCGAAAUUUUGACCCAAGACACACUGGGGAAUUAUUGAAGCACAUAGAUAGGCAGAAUGAGGUCCUUAUGGAAGCAUACAGAUCGAUGUUCCAUGAAUUACGGAAACUUCAGGUUGAAGAAGAAAUGCUUAUGCGCAAGAUGCAUGAAGUUAUGUCAACUCAUGGUCUCACCAAAAUGGUAGAUAAAAAGGAACCAGUUGCUCCUGAAGCGAUACUGGCAACUAGAGAAGAGCAGCGAAAUGGAAAGACAAUCUUGGAGUGGCUCAUCCGUUGGAAAGCUCAACCGGUCGAGGAGGCAACUUGGGAGGCAGCAGAGACGAUCAAAGAGAAGUUCCCUUCUUUCUGCCUCGAGGACAAGACAGAAACUAGAGAGGACGACAUUGAUGGUAACCCAUUACCUAUUGUUCUUGCACAACCUACAAGUGAGAAACCACCUUUGGUCUACACUAGGAGGUCCAAGGCCCAUGUGCCUAAGACUAGCUCAAACUUCCGGGAAUCACUAUUUGGGGAAGCGAGGAGUUAGUUAUAGAAGGGAAAAAGAAGAUAGAAUUUUAUAUACAGGGAGGGAGAAAACGUGGAGCUUGGCCAUUAUUUUUUUGUAAUUCCUUCGACUUCUGUUUACAUUAAUACACUUCCACCUCAAAUAGGUGGACGAGGAAUUAAUGUUAAAUAAGCAGUUAAGAACAGGUGGCGUGGCCUCUGUCUUCUUGUAAUAAUCGUUAUCCUAAUGCUUAUAGCGGUGGAACUUAACCCAUUCCAAUUUGAAGCUAAAGAGGAACAGUUCAGAAGACAUCGAGUAUAUAAAAUCAACGAACUCUUUUUGUUCAGCAAAUUUCUCCUUGUAUAGGUUUUAUUUUUCACAGUACAAAAUACUCAAUUUCAAGUUCACUCACUAAUGUGAGAAAGUUGAGUAAUAUCAAACAACCCAUUUGCAAAAUCUUGGAAUCCAUCAUUGCAAGAUACUUUUCAGAUAGAUAAUGUAUCUUGUUAGAUACAAGAGAGAAAAAUACUAUGAUUCCAAGACUUUCCAAUUUUAUGCCUUCGAUAGUUUUGUC